UUUCGCACCCAGCCGCCUUCCUUUCCCACUUCUUUGGUCUCCUUGGGUUCUUUUCGAAGCCCCCUCGCCUAACGACGCGUUUACCCCAGGCCUAGAAAGGAGUUCCACGAGCAGUCGUUGGACCUGCAAGAGCGGCCCGGGUAUCAAAGUGAGCGAAUAGGAGACAUACGCAGACAAGCUCGUUAUCUUUGUUUUAGAGGAUAACUACUAGUCGUUACCGAGUGAAUGACCCACGACAUGAGCAAAUAGUGAGACAAACUCGAGUGAAAACGACGUCAUUAACUUACCGAGGGAAAGACCAGAAUACCUUUCGACAAAAAGUUAACGACCAACCAGAACGGGAUGAAAUUGCCACGACGCGUACAAAUACUCGUAAAACACGCCGGUUACUAACACUUGGUCGUCCAACAUUUGUAGACCAUAGAAGGUUUUUUCCUUCCAAGUCUGUUUGGACUGCUACAUUAAAGUCGACGUGUCUUUAUGUAACUUGUUUUACCUAGUUUUCGUAAACUCUGAGAGCAAUUGUUCAAAUUCUGAUGUUUGCGCUCCGCGAGUUAAAACCUCCUCCAUCUCCGCCUUUCCUCUCGGUCCCGACUUGCUCUCGACCGUCGCUCCCUACACUUAGGUAAGAAGGUGGGCUUAAUGACUAAGACGUUUCGAGAUGACAAGUCCGUAGUCCACUGUGUUACAUACAAGUGGACUACGCGACGAUCAAGAAAAAUCGAAUAUAUGAUAUAAAUCGGGACGUAAAACACACUAAAGAGGAAGUCACGGAAAUUACAUCCUUAACCAGUCUGGUUCAACUCCCCUAUUAACAUCUCCUAGUAUAAAUCUAAACUAUAAUGUAUCGACUUGUUAAUACUUUACAACAUUUAUCCAAGACAGAAACCUACCAACAUACUUAGACCUGGUACAUUACCAGUGCUGAAAGAGUCCCUACUGACUUUACACAUACGUAUUUAUCGUAAGACCGUCAGUC
RNAcentral lists this ribosomal RNA (979 nucleotides) under Triticum aestivum (bread wheat). RNAcentral describes it as "partial small subunit ribosomal RNA". Lineage: Eukaryota; Viridiplantae; Streptophyta; Magnoliopsida; Poales; Poaceae. The record is from RNAcentral.